RNAcentral lists this long non-coding RNA (1428 nucleotides) under Homo sapiens (human). Its description in RNAcentral is "HSALNT0159739". Lineage: Eukaryota; Metazoa; Chordata; Mammalia; Primates; Hominidae. The record is from RNAcentral.
AAGAAAGAGGGUUGAAACCUUCAUGACAAUGCUAGAGAAUUAACAGUGAGAGAUGCAUUAAGCAACAACACAGUUUUGCCUUUUACAAGCUCCCUGAGGUUUUUAUUUCAGUCAGAGGACCAAGAUUUCAGUUCAAGUCACUGGAAGAAAAGAGCUGUCAUUUAUGCUCUCUACUUACAGGUAAAUUGUCUUGUGAUUAUUUCCACAGAACUCUGACUUGGAUAAGCUACCUAAGAUCGGAACCCUCUGAUAAUUUGUGCUGCUAUUUUAAGAUCCAGUUCCAUUCUACAACUGGCUGAAGCAUGAAGUCAACUAAAAUAAACUGAAUUGAGUGGAACUGAACUGAACUGAAGUGAAAUAAUGUGAUUUCCAGUAAACCUGACACCUUAAGGACAGAACAUGAGCCUUGCCCAUCUUCCUCCCAGAGGUCCCAGCACAAUCACCGACUCACACAAUACUCUCAGUGCAUGAGUGAUGAAUUUCACUAACAGCGACCCAUCUCUCUACAUAAUCCACUCCGGUUUCACCAGAGCUGAGAGUAUCAUGAAUUACAUCUAUAGAUAGCUGUAAGCUAAUGACCAAAGCACAUAACUGAAUUCAAACAUAUUCUUUAUUGCAGUCAGAUGUGAGAAAACAAAAUUUAGAAGACAAGCCAGAAAGGAAAUGAAGAACAUAAAGAGCCUGAAUUCUCAUCGUCAAUUUUUCCCUGACUGACUCCGUUUUCCUCUCUUCUUUCCAUUUACCUUUCUGUUCCCAUCCCCAUCAUUUUUGUAGUGUUUAUUGAGUGUCUGCUGCAUGCCAGUCAAUGUGCUGAGUACUUUUCAUGUGUUAUACCAUUUGAUCGUCACAGCAGCACACUAUUAUAAUUAUGAAUAUGAUUCCACAUACUAUAUCUAAAAUUUAACUUAAUUUUACAUAGGAGGAAGCUGAGACUUGCCCAAGACUACUCCAUUAGUAAGAUGUGAACCAAGUGAACCAUGUCUGACUCAAACCUAACCCCUGAUUCUCUGAAUCCAUAUCACCGUAGAACUCAACAGUGAAAUAUUGGGGUAGAGACAGGCUGCAUGGAGAUUGUAGCAUGAAUGCAGAUAUUGGAAAUUUACUGGAUGUAUGAUCAGACAAACCAAUUGAAGUGGAGAAGAGAACCAAUCAGCCAAAUCAUUACAGAAGUUGCACCACUGCCUGAAAUAUCUUGACUGAUUCUAUAUAAGUUGAAUUUUUGCCGAAUAAAUUCUGAAAAUAAUUACAAGCUUCCUUUUGAUUUGAAUGUUACACAUCAAGUUCUAGUAAGAGCUAAUUUUACAUCAUUGACAGAUAACAAAAUAGAAGGAACAAAGUGCCCUUUGAGUUAAGGGCACUCCAAUGUCCCGGAAUUUAACCUUUUUGUCAGAUCAAUAAGGUUUAGUGCAACUAGCCAGACACCUGUCC